UACUGCGUGGCGCAGUGAUUAACGCGUUUGCCUGCGGCUCCGAAGGUCAUGGGUUCGACCCCACGUGAGGGUAA
Molecule: non-coding RNA, 74 nt
Organism: Caenorhabditis elegans
Lineage: Eukaryota; Metazoa; Nematoda; Chromadorea; Rhabditida; Rhabditidae
Source: the annotation of a RefSeq genome assembly